AAUCGGUAAUUACUGGGCGUAAAGCGAGCGCAGGCGGUUAGAUAAGUCUGAAGUUUAAAGGCUGUGGCUUAACCAUUAGUACGCUUUGGAAACUGUUUAAACUUAGAGUGCAGAAGGGGAGAGUGGAAUUCCAUGUGUAGCGGUGAAAUGCGUAGAUAUAUGGAGGAACACCGGUGGCGAAAGCGGCUCUCUGGUCUGUAACUGACGCUGAGGCUCGAAAGCGUGGGGAAGCAAACAGGAUUAGAUACCCUGGGUAGUCCACGCCGUAAACGAUGAGUGCUAGGUUGUUGGGUCCUUUUCCGGGGACUUCAGUGCCGCAGCUAACGCAUUAAG
This 333-nucleotide ribosomal RNA is filed under the name uncultured bacterium. RNAcentral's name for it is "bacterial SSU rRNA". It matches the Rfam family "Bacterial small subunit ribosomal RNA", at positions 547 to 864 of the family's 1533-position model. The record is from RNAcentral.